CACGUAGGGGGCGAGCGUUGUCCGGAUUUAUUGGGCGUAAAGAGCUCGUAGGCGGUUGCGUAAGUCGGAUGUGAAAACUCAGGGCUCAACCCUGAGAUGCCAUCCGAUACUGCGUUGACUAGAGUCCGGUAGGGGAGCAUGGAAUUCCUGGUGUAGCGGUGAAAUGCGCAGAUAUCAGGAGGAACACCAGUGGCGAAGGCGGUGCUCUGGGCCGGAACUGACGCUGAGGAGCGAAAGCAUGGGUAGCAAACAGG
RNAcentral lists this ribosomal RNA (254 nucleotides) under uncultured bacterium. Its description in RNAcentral is "partial 16S ribosomal RNA". It matches the Rfam family "Bacterial small subunit ribosomal RNA", at positions 524 to 776 of the family's 1533-position model. The record is from RNAcentral.